UUGACCUCGGAUCAGAUAGGGAUACCCGCUGAACUUAAGCAUAUAUGGC
RNAcentral lists this ribosomal RNA (49 nucleotides) under ascomycete sp. ZGZII03104-2xiao. Its description in RNAcentral is "partial 28S ribosomal RNA". Lineage: Eukaryota; Fungi; Ascomycota. The record is from RNAcentral.